This is a long non-coding RNA of Poecilia latipinna (sailfin molly), 597 nucleotides long. RefSeq lists it as uncharacterized. The transcript is spliced from 3 exons. The record is from RefSeq and is a predicted model, not a curated record. NCBI's taxonomy places the organism in Eukaryota, Metazoa, Chordata, Actinopteri, Cyprinodontiformes, Poeciliidae.
UUUCUCAGCCAGUAAACUGAGAGGCAACUGAGAAUCAAUAUAUUGUUGACCUAAGAGAUCUUCUUAAUCCUGUGAUGAAGCAUUUUUAUCCAUAUUGAUCCAGAUAGUGAACUGGGUGCAUCCCAUCAGGACGGAAAUGGGUGAAAUCUCAGUGCUCAACACAAGCAGAAUACUUUGUUUCAUGUGAAGCAGCUUUCUUCACGACUACAGCACAGCUAACUCCAUGAGGGAAGCUCUCUUUUAGAAAAAAAAUGGCCCUCAUCCCCAAAUCACAGAGUGCUGUCCUACUGGAUGGACAUAAUCUGCAAGAAAAUGAGCUGACUCAUCAAUAAAGCGGGGCCCUUAAGCUGACAGCGCCUGUGAAGAGGCUACAUAACUGAGGCUGGAUUGCCACCUACUGGAGUGUUCUUGUAUCCAGACUUUUCAGAUGUAAUCCAAACAUCACACUGUUAUCACUGUAUCAUUUAAAUCAGAGCUUUCCCUUUGUAGAUAUUUUAAAACCCUUCAAACGUCUUCAUAACCUUUGAUGAGCUACACAAACAUUCAGUAGCUUAGAUGUGAAGUGAAAACAUGAUUUUCAAAACCUUCUACAAAUAA